CAUUUUUUUUUUUUUUUUUUUUUUUUUUUUUUUUUUUUUUUUUUUUUUUACUGGGAACAAGCUUCACUGUGAUAUCUGAAUGCCAGAAGUCCAUUUCUUUGCAGGGUUUAAUCCCUCCGUGAAGUUGCGCACGCCCCGGCCUUGCGUCCGUCUCUCCUUCCCCGGCCUCCCCGGCCCGGUGUGGGGCGGUGUCGUCCGCGAGACGCUUCCCUCCAGCUCGAAUGUCCAGCUUUCCAUUACCCCUUUGACUUGACGUGCUAGGCGACUAAUCCCUCUGUAUACUUGCCUUACAACUCCUUGUUACCCAUUUCUGAACCUCUGAAACUCCACUACACCGCAG
This 340-nucleotide long non-coding RNA is filed under the name Brassica napus (rape). RNAcentral describes it as "long non-coding RNA (BNAP_LNC026724)". The record is from RNAcentral. Lineage: Eukaryota; Viridiplantae; Streptophyta; Magnoliopsida; Brassicales; Brassicaceae.